Molecule: long non-coding RNA, 992 nt
Organism: Homo sapiens (human)
Lineage: Eukaryota; Metazoa; Chordata; Mammalia; Primates; Hominidae
Gene: CD2BP2-DT
Product: CD2BP2 divergent transcript
Source: Ensembl
UGGGAGGACAAUGGUGAGAAGAGGGAACCUAAGAAUUCCUGGACUCUGACUGGGCGUGAGAAAUGGCCGGAAGUAGCUUCGAGUCCGUCAUUCAAGCAGUAGAGGCUCUGGAGAAAAACUGGAGCGCAUCUGCUUAAAGGGCCGCCCAGGGUCAGGAUGGAGGGGCAAAGUCCGAGCAGGGGGUUUCCUCCCAUAUUGGAUCACGAUGAAAACUGCACAGAAAGUCCGUGCUCAGUUUCUUCCAUGGUUACAGAACACAGGCCCCAGACCAGGAAGGCAUUCUGCUAAAGAAGGGGACCCGAAACCUCAGCUACCAGCGCCGAUGGUUCAUCCUCCGAGGAAACCUCCUCUUCUACCUAGAACACUAGACCGACCAUGCACCCCUGAGCCUCAUCCUGUUAGAGAACUGCCAGGUGGAACCACACCUUAAGGCUGCAGAACCCUAUGCCUUUACCAUCCUGACCCCUGGGGUGGAGGGCACAGGUGGGCGGGCCUACAAGCUGGCUGCAGAAACCCAGGAAGAGCUGGAGACUUGGCUGUGGGCACUGGCUGGCGCGAGCUGGAGGCGGCUGGCUGGGCUGCUGUCCCCCCUCCCCCCCCACCAAAACCCAAUACUGGGAGCUGUGCCAGGCAACUGGCCAAGAACCCAUCUCAUCCCCAGAGGACAGUGGCUUUCUAGCCACUGUGAGUACCCCCUCCAGCUUCCAGGAGUUGCAUGAGCACUUUGGGAAGGAGAUCCGGGUGCUGCACGUGGUACAUAGAGAGCUCCAGGCAGCCAGUGACAAUGGAGACAGCAGAUCCCAGGCAAAGAUGGAGCAGGAGCUCAACCAGUGUCUGAUGAGUGACUGAGAGAUGGACCCAAAGCUAAGAGGUACCUACUUGCCAAGACAGCAGACUGCUUCAACAGAGACCCAGGUCCUGGCUCUGUCCCUCCCUCCCUCGUCCUUACCCCAUCCCCCCCUCAUCAAAUAACAAGGCAGAAAACAGGCCCA